This 500-nucleotide long non-coding RNA is filed under the name Ananas comosus (pineapple). RNAcentral describes it as "long non-coding RNA (ACOM_LNC026537)". Lineage: Eukaryota; Viridiplantae; Streptophyta; Magnoliopsida; Poales; Bromeliaceae. The record is from RNAcentral.
GUAAAGGUUUCCGUGUUGUCAACUGAUUUUUGAUGCGAGGAGUACUUCUGAAUCGACGAUCGACUCCGCUAAAUUUGAUCUAGAGUAUUUAAAAUAUUUAGAAAACAAAUUUCAUAAUUUUUCGAUGUCAUUUAUCUAGUGAUUGAAAUGGUUCAAAAUUAACGGCUGAAAAUAAUUAAAAUCUCGCAAAGAAGUGAUGAUACGAUACUAAAAUUUUAGACAAAAAAUAUUGAUCUUAUUUUAUUAUUUUAUAUAGUAUAAAAAAUUUUACAUGACUUUGAUAUUUCUAUAUAGUUAAACUUGCAAAUAGGUCACCGCGACUAUUAAAAUUGUUAAUUUAAACCCCUUCAAUCAUCACGUAAAUAAUAUCAAAAAUUUAUAAUUUUUUUUUUUAGAUACUUUAAAUACUCUAAAUCAAGUUUAAUAUAGCCGAUCGUCGAUUUGGAAGUAGCAUCGAAAACGGCUCGUCAACACGGAAACCUUUGUGCGCUCUCUCUCUA